UGCUUUCAGAGAAUAAGGCUAUGCCAUCAAGUGCUAUAUAAAUAUAUAUAUUUUUUGAGAUUGAUGUUAUAUAUAUAUGUAUAUAUAAAUAUAUACAUAUACAUAUAAUUUUGAUUGGAUUUGAGCAUGGUUUAUGCAAUUUUGUUUGUUACUAUACAUUGUUAUAAUUGUGUGCAAAGUGUUUGAUAAAUUGGUUCAUUCAAUGGUCAGUUAUUUUUAAGAGUGGUCAUAUAUAAUUUGGAGUGUUUGCAAAUUUGUGGAUUUGAGGACUGCAAUGAUGUUGCAAGCCACUUUAUUGAGUGGAUGUAUUCUGAGUUUUAUAAUAAGGUCCAAGACUCUAAUAUAUAGAUUAGUAGCUAUUGUGAUUAACAAGAAGUUCUCGAGUUUUUUAAGUUUUUCUCUUAUAUUAUAAGAAGCUCUCCAAUUUAGUUUUGUUUAAUGUCAACUAGGCUAACAUAGACAAUGUUAUAAGCUUCAAAUUUUGUAUGUUCUAUGUUUUUUAGGUACCAUAAUCACAGAGAAUAUAUUAGCCUAUUAUUUUGUUGAGUGCGAUUUAAAUUGAUUUCAUCAAAAUCAAAUGUCCUUUAUCCUGGUGAUGCAUGUGAGGCUUUAAAGGGUUUGUGAUUUCUACAUUUUCUUUUUCAUGGCUUCAAAAAUAUAUUUGCUUGCUUUGUUUCAUUUUUUUCCUCAAGUUUGCCUUCUAACCAAAGAUUUUUCAAGUGUUUUUUCAUCAUCUUUUCUCUUUAUUCUUAAUUAUGCUCAAUAUUUUAAUGUGUUAUAUUAUUAUUUAUAGGGUGAUACUUAUAAGUUAGUGAUGUGGUAUGUUAUCCCCUGUUAUAUUUUGAGCAACCUAUCAUACAAGUGAUGUGGUAUUGUGAUUUCUACAACUUGACAUGUGGUAUUGAUUGUUUGUCAUCAUCUUAUUUGGUUGUCUUAAGUUUGUGCAGUUGAUCAAUUGCGUACUAGAUUCUGUGUGGGCCACUUUAUACAAAGUAAAGGCUGCUCUUCUUGUUGAGCCUACAACUCUAUAAUUUAUAACUCAUCAAGAUAAGUGGAGUUUAGCAAAGUGGACUUUCUCCUUCAAGUUGGGACAUUUUGUAUGGCAGUUGGUGCUCUAGUUGCAUGUAUACACUAAUUGUUAUCUCUAUCUCCUUUAAUAGUUUUUUUUUCUUCACUAAUCUAAUGGUUACUGAUUGGCUUAUGGCUACUACACAUGACAAACAGCCACAUUACCAAAUCUCCUCCCUAAUUUAAGUUGAAAACUUUUGCUUUUAGAUUGAAUACGUGUUUUCUUUUUAGAAAUGUUGAAGGGAUUAACUUCAGAUUUACUAGUAUAUAUUCUAUGUUAACUCUUUUAUGA
Molecule: long non-coding RNA, 1360 nt
Organism: Humulus lupulus (European hop)
Lineage: Eukaryota; Viridiplantae; Streptophyta; Magnoliopsida; Rosales; Cannabaceae
Exons: 2
Source: RefSeq, a predicted model, not a curated record